UACGGGAGGCAGCAGUGGGGAAUAUUGCACAAUGGGCGAAAGCCUGAUGCAGCUAUGCCGCGUGUAUGAAGAAGGCCUUAGGGUUGUAAAGUACUUUCAUCGGGGAGGAAAACAAACUAAUAAUUUUAUUUCUUGACGUUACCCGAAAAAGAAGCACCGGCUAACUCCGUGCCAGCAGCCGCGGUAAUACGGAGGGUGCUAGCGUUAAUCAGAAUUACUGGGCGUAAAGAGCACGUAGGUGGUUUUUUUAAGUCAGAUGUGAAAUCCCUGGGCUUAACCUAGGAACUGCAUUUUUGAAACUGAAAUACUAGAGUAUCGUAGAGGGAGGUAGAAUUCUAGGUGUAGCGGUGAAAUGCGUAGAUAUCUGGAGGAAUACCUGUGGCGAAAGCGGCCUCCUAAACGAAUACUGACACUGAGGUGCGAAAGCGUGGGGAGCAAACAGGGAUUAGAUACC
This 454-nucleotide ribosomal RNA is filed under the name uncultured bacterium. RNAcentral describes it as "bacterial SSU rRNA". It matches the Rfam family "Bacterial small subunit ribosomal RNA", at positions 340 to 786 of the family's 1533-position model. The record is from RNAcentral.